AAGACCUUGCGCUUUUGGAGCGGCCGAKGCCUGAUUAGCUUGUUGGUAAGGUAAAAGCUUACCAAGGCUUCGAUCAGUAGCUGGUCUGAGAGGACGGCCAGCCACACUGGGACUGAGACACGGCCCAGACUCCUACGGGAGGCAGCAGUGGGGAAUUUUGGACAAUGGGGGCAACCCUGAUCCAGCCAUGCCGCGUGAGUGAAGAAGGCCUUCGGGUUGUAAAGCUCUUUCAGCCGGAACGAAACGGUUACGGUUAAUACCCGUGACUACUGACGGUACCGGAAGAAGAAGCACCGGCUAACUACGUGCCAGCAGCCGCGGUAAUACGUAGGGUGCAAGCGUUAMUCGGAAUUACUGGGCGUAAAGCGUGCGCAGGUGGUUUUGUAAGUCAGAUGUGAAAUCCCCGGGCUUAACCUGGGAACU
RNAcentral lists this ribosomal RNA (423 nucleotides) under uncultured bacterium. RNAcentral describes it as "bacterial SSU rRNA". It matches the Rfam family "Bacterial small subunit ribosomal RNA", at positions 207 to 622 of the family's 1533-position model. The record is from RNAcentral.